CUGAACACUAUGCAGAAAGGAGGAAUGUACAGCAGAGACAAAGAGCUUCUGCUCUGUAGCAUGCUGGCUUUUAGUGCGUCUGCAGACAUGGUCCCACCUGGCUCUGCCACUGUAUGCCUGCUUGGGGCUGCUGUCCCAAGCCAUGGGUGAGUCCCCUGCACAGCACAAAAACCCCAGGUUUGACUGGAGUGGUUAGAAAAAGUUUACCAAAUGUGUACUCCACAUCUGCCUUUCAUGCUUGAAAGAGAAAAACUUAAUCAAAUGCUCGAGUGUAACUGCUUUAUUACACUGGAUUAACUAGA
RNAcentral lists this long non-coding RNA (302 nucleotides) under Crocodylus porosus (Australian saltwater crocodile). RNAcentral describes it as "lncRNA (ENSCPRG00005003871.1)". The record is from RNAcentral. Lineage: Eukaryota; Metazoa; Chordata; Crocodylia; Crocodylidae.